Molecule: ribosomal RNA, 506 nt
Filed under: uncultured bacterium
Lineage: Bacteria
Description: partial 16S ribosomal RNA
Source: RNAcentral
CACGUAGUUAGCCGUGACUUUCUCACAGGGUACCGUCACUGUCUUCUUCCCCUGCGACAACAGUUUACAAUCCGAAGACCUUCUUCCUGCACGCGGCGUUGCUGCGUCAGGGUUGCCCCCAUUGCGCAAUAUUCCCCACUGCUGCCUCCCGUAGGAGUCUGGGCCGUGUCUCAGUCCCAAUGCGGCCGGUCAACCUCUCAGUUCGGCUACAGAUCGUCGCCUUGGUGAGCCGUUACCUCACCAACCAGCUAAUCUGACGCGAGUCCAUCCAUAAGCGAUAAAUCUUUCAAAUUCUAUGAUGCCAUAAAAUUUCAAUAUGCGGUAUUAGUCCUCGUUUCCAAGGAUUAUCCCCCUCUUAUGGGCAGGUUACUCACGCGUUACUCGCCCGUCCGCCACUUUCCACCCAACAGUUCACCCGAAGGGAUCACAAUGGGUUCUCGUUCGACUUGCAUGUGUUAGGCACGCCGCCAGCCGUUCGUCCUGUACGCCGAGGACGUCAAAACUCU